AGAAAAUAAGUCUCUGGAAUCCCUGAGAGGGUCGACCCAAAUGGAACUUGAGUCGACCCAACCUUGAGUCGACCCCAAUUGCUCAUGAGUCGACCCAAAGGCUAUAUCAUUCAAAAAUCAGUUCUCUGGAAUCUCUGAGAGGGUCGACCCAAGUGAAAUUUGAGCCGACCCAACUGAACCUUGAGUCGACCCAAAAAGUGUUGAGUUGAUCCAAGUGAAGGAAGGCUGAAAUACAAGGUUCUGUGUUUCCUGAGAGGGUCGACCCUAAUGUUGCAUGAGUCGACUUAAGUGAAAGUUGGGUCGACCCCAGUAAAAGUUGAGUCGACCCAAGCACGGGCAGAAGCAUAACGGCUAGUUCUGCAGAAGUACUUUUUGUCCUUCCAAUAGUAAGUAACGGCUAGUUUUUAAAAUCUGACCAAUGGGGGGUGUCUAAUGGGUGAGGAAAACUAUUUAAAGAGACACUAUUCAUCAGAGAAAAAGAUCCUUUUGCAAAAUAUCAAAGCUUACACAAGAAAGACAAGUGCCCUAAUCUUCUUCAUCCAAGUGCUUCAUUCAAAGAGUCAAAAGAAAGUGGUUGAGCAGAUUUCAAGAGAUAUUAAGAGCUCCAUCCACCCUUGAAGAGUAAAGCAUUUUUGACAAAGAAGAGAGAAGUUUCAUCUGUUAGAANN
Molecule: long non-coding RNA, 668 nt
Filed under: Phoenix dactylifera (date palm)
Lineage: Eukaryota; Viridiplantae; Streptophyta; Magnoliopsida; Arecales; Arecaceae
Description: long non-coding RNA (PDAC_LNC012699)
Source: RNAcentral